CACAGCCACUUAACUGGGACUUAACUGGAGAGAUAACGGUAGGGCCAUAGAAGGGAACGAAAAUUAAAAGAAGAUCAAAAAAGGCGUUUCAGUUUUCCAGGGCCAUAGAAGGAACUUUCAUUUGUUCCAGGACCUUAGAAGGAAUUUUCCCCAGAAUUUGGCCCCCAUAGCACGAAUUGAUUCGGUUUGGGGGUUUUCCAUCUAUUUUCUCAAUUUUGCAUCUUUUCCCUUUUCUUUUCCUUUCCCAGCCCACUUGAAAUUCCAAUCUUGCCCCUACCCCUUGGACACCUUAUCUCUCUCACGAUUGAAUCAGGCCACGGACCUCUCGUUCUUUCUCGUCAAGGACGAUGCUCAUCCUGGCCGGCGUUCUCCCAUCCGCCGCUGCCGUCCCUCUCCCAUCCAGCGCUCUCCCAUGUCGCUCCUCCCGUUGCACCUCUCGAGCCCCCCUCGUUCCAUUAUUGGGCAUGUCACAGCCAUCCGGAGCCGCGAGCAGCGGUGCUAGGGUUAGGCGCGGCCGGGCGGCGCUUGCUGCCGCGCCAGCAAUGCUACUUGGUGCCUAGUUCAUGUCUCAAGAAGAGUAUAUGAAGCUUAUCUCCUGGAGGAAGAAAUUUACUGGGCAAAAUCUUUUGGUGAAAUGCCGUCCCCGAAUUAAUGCAUGGAUUGGAAAAGCUACAUAUGGGAUUAGACGAGGUCAAGAAGGAGAUGAUAGCGAUGAACAAUAGGGAGCCUACAAUAAAUAGAUGAUGUGCUGCUUGUACUGAAGUAGAAUUCAUAUAUUGUUUCCCUAUCAUGAAAAGAUGGUAGACUGAAAAGUAUGGGUGGAGGAAAUCUUCCAUCUUAGGAUUUCUUGUAGUAAUUAUGAGUGCCAAAGCAUGUGGGCACGACUUUCCUGAAA
Panicum virgatum (switchgrass) is the source of this 895-nucleotide long non-coding RNA. RefSeq lists it as uncharacterized. Lineage: Eukaryota; Viridiplantae; Streptophyta; Magnoliopsida; Poales; Poaceae. The transcript has 2 exons. The record is from RefSeq and is a predicted model, not a curated record.